UACGUAGGUGGCAAGCGUUGUCCGGAUUUAUUGGGCGUAAAGCGAGCGCAGGCGGUUGCUUAGGUCUGAUGUGAAAGCCUUCGGCUUAACCGAAGAAGUGCAUCGGAAACCGGGCGACUUGAGUGCAGAAGAGGACAGUGGAACUCCAUGUGUAGCGGUGGAAUGCGUAGAUAUAUGGAAGAACACCAGUAGCGAAGGCGGCUGUCUGGUCUGCAACUGACGCUGAGACUCGAAAGCAUGGGUAGCGAACAGG
Molecule: ribosomal RNA, 253 nt
Filed under: uncultured bacterium
Lineage: Bacteria
Description: partial 16S ribosomal RNA
Rfam family: Bacterial small subunit ribosomal RNA
Source: RNAcentral